This 74-nucleotide transfer RNA is filed under the name Candidatus Uhrbacteria bacterium. RNAcentral's name for it is "tRNA-Val". Lineage: Bacteria; Candidatus Uhriibacteriota. The record is from RNAcentral.
GGGAGCUACCACCUCANNAGAGCAUCUCGUUUACACCGAGAGGGUCGGGGGUUCGAGUCCCUCAGCGCCUACCA